UACGUAGGGUGCGAGCGUUAAUCGGAAUUACUGGGCGUAAAGCGUGCGCAGGCGGUUUUGUAAGCCAGGGGUGAAAUCCCCGGGCUCAACCUGGGAAUGGCAUUUGGGACUGCAAGGCUGGAGUGCGGCAGAGGAGACUGGAAUUCCUGGUGUAGCAGUGAAAUGCGUAGAUAUCAGGAGGAACACCGAUGGCGAAGGCAGGUCUCUGGGCUGACACUGACGCUCAUGCACGAAAGCGUGGGGAGCAAACAGG
RNAcentral lists this ribosomal RNA (253 nucleotides) under uncultured bacterium. RNAcentral's name for it is "partial 16S ribosomal RNA". It matches the Rfam family "Bacterial small subunit ribosomal RNA", at positions 524 to 776 of the family's 1533-position model. The record is from RNAcentral.